Molecule: transfer RNA, 82 nt
Filed under: Clostridiales bacterium
Lineage: Bacteria; Bacillati; Bacillota; Clostridia; Eubacteriales
Also listed under: 3 other names
Description: tRNA-Leu
Rfam family: tRNA
About the family: Transfer RNA (tRNA) molecules are approximately 80 nucleotides in length.
Source: RNAcentral
GCGGAAGUGGCGGAACUGGCAGACGCGCACGUUUGAGGGGCGUGUGGAGCAUUCCAUACGGGUUCAAGUCCCGUCUUCCGCA